UACAGAGGGGGCAAGCGUUAUUCGGAAUUACUGGGCGUAAAGGGCGCGUAGGCGGCCCGCUAAGUCGAACGUGAAAUCCCCAGGCUCAACCUGGGAACUGCGUCCGAUACUGGCAGGCUUGAAUCCGGGAGAGGGAUGUGGAAUUCCAGGUGUAGCGGUGAAAUGCGUAGAUAUCUGGAGGAACACCGAUUGCGAAGGCAGCUCGCUGGAACGUUACUGACGCUGAGACGCGAAAGCGUGGGGAGCAAACAGG
RNAcentral lists this ribosomal RNA (253 nucleotides) under uncultured bacterium. RNAcentral describes it as "partial 16S ribosomal RNA". It matches the Rfam family "Bacterial small subunit ribosomal RNA", at positions 524 to 776 of the family's 1533-position model. The record is from RNAcentral.